RNAcentral lists this ribosomal RNA (603 nucleotides) under uncultured fungus. Its description in RNAcentral is "eukaryotic LSU rRNA". It matches the Rfam family "Eukaryotic large subunit ribosomal RNA", at positions 23 to 641 of the family's 3401-position model. The record is from RNAcentral. Lineage: Eukaryota; Fungi.
ACCCGCUGAACUUAAGCAUAUCAAUAAGCGGAGGAAAAGAAACCAACAGGGAUUGCCCUAGUAACGGCGAGUGAAGCGGCAACAGCUCAAAUUUGAAAUCCGGCGUCUUUGGCGUCCGAGUUGUAAUUUGCAGAGGGCGCUUUGGCAUUGGCAGCGGUCCAAGUUCCUUGGAACAGGACGUCACAGAGGGUGAGAAUCCCGUACGUGGUCGCUAGCCUUUACCGUGUAAAGCCCCUUCGACGAGUCGAGUUGUUUGGGAAUGCAGCUCUAAAUGGGAGGUAAAUUUCUUCUAAAGCUAAAUACUGGCCAGAGACCGAUAGCGCACAAGUAGAGUGAUCGAAAGAUGAAAAGCACUUUGGAAAGAGAGUUAAAAAGCACGUGAAAUUGUUGAAAGGGAAGCGCUUGCAGCCAGACUUGCCUGUAGUUGCUCAUCCGGGUUUCUACCCGGUGCACUCUUCUAUAGGCAGGCCAGCAUCAGUUUGGGCGGUUGGAUAAAGGUCUCUGUCAUGUACCUCUCUUCGGGGAGAACUUAUAGGGGAGACGACAUGCAACCAGCCUGGACUGAGGUCCGCGCAUCUGCUAGGAUGCUGGCGUAAUGGCUGU